This 372-nucleotide ribosomal RNA is filed under the name uncultured bacterium. RNAcentral's name for it is "bacterial SSU rRNA". It matches the Rfam family "Bacterial small subunit ribosomal RNA", at positions 157 to 507 of the family's 1533-position model. The record is from RNAcentral.
CUCUAGCUAAUGCCGGAUGAGACCACGAUCCUUCGGGGUUGCGGCCAAAGAUGGCCUCUACUUGUAAGCUAUCGCUGAGGGAUGGGCCUGCGGGCCAUUAGCUUGUUGGUGAGGUAACGGCUCACCAAGGCUGUGAUGGCUAGCUGGUCUGAGAGGAUGACCAGCCACACUGGGACUGAGACACGGCCCAGACUCCUACGGGAGGCAGCAGUGGGGAAUAUUGCGCAAUGGGCGAAAGCCUGACGCAGCGACGCCGCGUGGGUGAUGAAGGCCUUCGGGUCGUAAAGCCCUGUCGCAGGGGAAGAAUAAGCAUCGGUAUAAUACGCCGGUGCCCUGACGGUACCCUGCAAGAAAGCACCGGCUAACUCCGUG